UCCUUCUUCAAUCCUAUCUAUGAGGCCUUUGACGCUGCCCUCUCCCUCCACACCAACCUCCAUGACCUUGCUUUUCCCCUCCAUGAUAGCUCCCUCCAUCUUCAUCUCUUUUUCAUUGAUGAUUCCUCGUAUAUGAGCAAGGAUAUUUUCAUCCAUUGAAAUAAAAAGUCAGUAUAAUUUGCUAGUAAGUGAAUGACAGGAUCAUUUUGGAACAUCUCAAAAAGUUAAAAAACUAGUUUGAUAUCUGUUAAAAUCGAUGAGGUAUUAAUAAAAUUGAGCUAAAGUUGAGGGGGUAUUCCUAUAAUUUAUUCAAA
This 314-nucleotide long non-coding RNA is filed under the name Elaeis guineensis (African oil palm). RNAcentral describes it as "long non-coding RNA (EGUI_LNC033062)". The record is from RNAcentral. Lineage: Eukaryota; Viridiplantae; Streptophyta; Magnoliopsida; Arecales; Arecaceae.